GUGCUCACUUCAGCAAUACAUACACUAAAACUGAAAUGAUACAGAGAUGAUUAGCAUGGCUCCUGUGCAAGGAUGAUAUGCAAAUUUGUAAAGCAUUCCAUAUUUGA
This 107-nucleotide small nuclear RNA is filed under the name Marmota marmota marmota (Alpine marmot). The record is from RNAcentral. Lineage: Eukaryota; Metazoa; Chordata; Mammalia; Rodentia; Sciuridae. RNAcentral also lists the same sequence under 1 other name.